ACUCAGGUGUUGUUGGGUAGGGGAGCGUUCUGUAAGCCUGCGAAGGUGGCCUGUGAGGGUUGCUGGAGGUAUCAGAAGUGCGAAUGCUGACAUAAGUAACGAUAAAGCGGGUGAAAAGCCCGCUCGCCGGAAGACCAAGGGUUCCUGUCCAACGUUAAUCGGGGCAGGGUGAGUCGACCCCUAAGGCGAGGCCGAAAGGCGUAGUCGAUGGGAAACGGGUUAAUAUUCCCGUACUUGGUGUUACUGCGAAGGGGGGACGGAGAAGGCUAUGUUGGCCGGGCGACGGUUGUCCCGGUUUAAGCGUGUAGGUGUGUGUUCCAGGUAAAUCCGGUUCACUUUAACACUGAGGCGUGAUGACGAGGCACUACGGUGCUGAAGCAACAAAUGCCCUGCUUCCAGGAAAAGCCUCUAAGCAUCAGGUAACAUCAAAUCGUACCCCAAACCGACACAGGUGGUCAGGUAGAGAAUACCAAGGCGCUUGAGAGAACUCGGGUGAAGGAACUAGGCAAAAUGGUGCCGUAACUUCGGGAGAAGGCACGCUGACACGUAGGUGAAGUGAUUUACUCAUGGAGCUGAAGUCAGUCGAAGAUACCAGCUGGCUGCAACUGUUUAUUAAAAACACAGCACUGUGCAAACACGAAAGUGGACGUAUACGGUGUGACGCCUGCCCGGUGCCGGAAGGUUAAUUGAUGGGGUCAGCGCAAGCGAAGCUCCUGAUCGAAGCCCCGGUAAACGGCGGCCGUAACUAUAACGGUCCUAAGGUAGCGAAAUUCCUUGUCGGGUAAGUUCCGACCUGCACGAAUGGCGUAAUGAUGGCCAGGCUGUCUCCACCCGAGACUCAGUGAAAUUGAACUCGCUGUGAAGAUGCAGUGUACCCGCGGCAAGACGGAAAGACCCCGUGAACCUUUACUAUAGCUUGACACUGAACAUUGAGCCUUGAUGUGUAGGAUAGGUGGGAGGCUUUGAAGUGUGGACGCCAGUCUGCAUGGAGCCGACCUUGAAAUACCACCCUUUAAUGUUUGAUGUUCUAACGUGGACCCGUGAUCCGGGUUGCGGACAGUGUCUGGUGGGUAGUUUGACUGGGGCGGUCUCCUCCUAAAGAGUAACGGAGGAGCACGAAGGUUGGCUAAUCCUGGUCGGACAUCAGGAGGUUAGUGCAAUGGCAUAAGCCAGCUUGACUGCGAGCGUGACGGCGCGAGCAGGUGCGAAAGCAGGUCAUAGUGAUCCGGUGGUUCUGAAUGGAAGGGCCAUCGCUCAACGGAUAAAAGGUACUCCGGGGAUAACAGGCUGAUACCGCCCAAGAGUUCAUAUCGACGGCGGUGUUUGGCACCUCGAUGUCGGCUCAUCACAUCCUGGGGCUGAAGUAGGUCCCAAGGGUAUGGCUGUUCGCCAUUUAAAGUGGUACGCGAGCUGGGUUUAGAACGUCGUGAGACAGUUCGGUCCCUAUCUGCCGUGGGCGCUGGAGAACUGAGGGGGGCUGCUCCUAGUACGAGAGGACCGGAGUGGACGCAUCACUGGUGUUCGGGUUGUCAUGCCAAUGGCACUGCCCGGUAGCUAAAUGCGGAAGAGAUAAGUGCUGAAAGCAUCUAAGCACGAAACUUGCCCCGAGAUGAGUUCUCCCUGAGACUUUAAGUCUCCUGAAGGAACGUUGAAGACGACGACGUUGAUAGGCCGGGUGUGUAAGCGCAGCGAUGCGUUGAGCUAACCGGUACUAAUGAACCGUGAGGCUUAACCUU
This 1736-nucleotide ribosomal RNA is filed under the name Salmonella enterica. RNAcentral's name for it is "partial 23S ribosomal RNA". It matches the Rfam family "Bacterial large subunit ribosomal RNA", at positions 1211 to 2925 of the family's 2925-position model. The record is from RNAcentral. Lineage: Bacteria; Pseudomonadati; Pseudomonadota; Gammaproteobacteria; Enterobacterales; Enterobacteriaceae.